This 700-nucleotide ribosomal RNA is filed under the name uncultured bacterium. Its description in RNAcentral is "bacterial SSU rRNA". It matches the Rfam family "Bacterial small subunit ribosomal RNA", at positions 51 to 749 of the family's 1533-position model. The record is from RNAcentral.
ACACAUGCAAGUCGAACGGUAACAGGUCUUCGGAUGCUGACGAGUGGCGAACGGGUGAGUAAUACAUCGGAACGUGCCCGAUCGUGGGGGAUAACGGAGCGAAAGCUUUGCUAAUACCGCAUACGAUCUACGGAUGAAAGCGGGGGAUCUUCGGACCUCGCGCGGACGGAGCGGCCGAUGGCAGAUUAGGUAGUUGGUGGGAUAAAAGCUUACCAAGCCGACGAUCUGUAGCUGGUCUGAGAGGAUGAUCAGCCACACUGGGACUGAGACACGGCCCAGACUCCUACGGGAGGCAGCAGUGGGGAAUUUUGGACAAUGGGCGCAAGCCUGAUCCAGCCAUGCCGCGUGCAGGAUGAAGGCCUUCGGGUUGUAAACUGCUUUUGUACGGAACGAAAAGGUGCCUUCUAAUAAAGGGCGCUCAUGACGGUACCGUAAGAAUAAGCACCGGCUAACUACGUGCCAGCAGCCGCGGUAAUACGUAGGGUGCGAGCGUUAAUCGGAAUUACUGGGCGUAAAGCGUGCGCAGGCGGUUUUGUAAGACAGAGGUGAAAUCCCCGGGCUCAACCUGGGAACUGCCUUUGUGACUGCAAAGCUGGAGUGCGGCAGAGGGGGAUGGAAUUCCGCGUGUAGCAGUGAAAUGCGUAGAUAUGCGGAGGAACACCGAUGGCGAAGGCAAUCCCCUGGGCCUGCACUACGCUCU